AUUGAACGCUGGCGGCAUGCUUUACACGUGCAAGUCGAACGGCAGCGCGGGCUUCGGCCUGGCGGCGAGUGGCGAACGGGUGAGUAAUACAUCGGAACGUGCCCAGUAGUGGGGGAUAGCUCGGCGAAAGCCGGAUUAAUACCGCAUACGACCUGAGGGGUAAAGCGGGGGAUCUUCGGACCUCGCGCUAUUUGAGCGGCCGAUGGCAGAUUAGCUAGUUGGUGGGGUAAAGGCCUACCAAGGCGACGAUCUGUAGCUGGUCUGAGAGGACGACCAGCCACACUGGGACUGAGACACGGCCCAGACUCCUACGGGAGGCAGCAGUGGGGAAUUUUGGACAAUGGGCGAAAGCCUGAUCCAGCAAUGCCGCGUGUGUGAUGAAGGCCCUCGGGUUGUAAAGCACUUUUGGCGGGAACGAAAAGGACUGUGCCAAUACCACGGUUCGAUGACGGUACCCGCAGAAUAAGCACCGGCUAACUACGUG
RNAcentral lists this ribosomal RNA (484 nucleotides) under uncultured bacterium. Its description in RNAcentral is "partial 16S ribosomal RNA". It matches the Rfam family "Bacterial small subunit ribosomal RNA", at positions 29 to 507 of the family's 1533-position model. The record is from RNAcentral.